RNAcentral lists this ribosomal RNA (589 nucleotides) under uncultured ciliate. RNAcentral describes it as "SSU rRNA". It matches the Rfam family "Eukaryotic small subunit ribosomal RNA", at positions 347 to 951 of the family's 1831-position model. The record is from RNAcentral. Lineage: Eukaryota; Ciliophora.
CGGCGGUCACGGGUAACGGAGAAUUAGGGUUCGAUUCCGGAGAGGGAGCCUGAGAAACGGCUACCACAUCUAAGGAAGGCAGCAGGCGCGUAAAUUACCCAAUCCCGAUUCGGGGAGGUAGUGACAAGAAAUAACAACUCGGGCGCCGCAAGGCGUUGCGAGAUUGCAAUGGGUACAAUUUAAAUCACUUAACGAGUAACAAUUGGAGGGCAAGUCCGGUGCCAGCAGCCGCGGUAAUUCCAGCUCCAAUAGCGUAUAUUAAAGUUGUUGCAGUUAAAAAGCUCGUAGUCGAAGUUCUGGCUGGUCCCGUUUCCGGCUUCGGUCGACUCGGGACCUAGCCAUCCGUCGGAGAACCCUUGUCGUCCUUCAGUGGUCGCUUGGGGGGACCGACCCUUUACUUUGAAAAAAUUGGAGUGUUUCAGGCAGGCCAUCGCCCGAAUACUCCAGCAUGGAAUAAUGGAAUAGGACUUUGUUCUAUUUUGUUGGUUAUUAGAGCGAAGUAAUGAUUAAUAGGGACAGUUGGGGGCAUUCGUACUUAAUUGUCAGAGGUGAAAUUCUUGGAUUUAUUAAAGACGAACUAAUGCGAAAG